Molecule: ribosomal RNA, 253 nt
Filed under: uncultured bacterium
Lineage: Bacteria
Description: partial 16S ribosomal RNA
Rfam family: Bacterial small subunit ribosomal RNA
Source: RNAcentral
UACGUAGGGUGCAAGCGUUGUCCGGAAUUAUUGGGCGUAAAGAGCUCGUAGGCGGUUUGUCGCGUCUGCUGUGAAAACCUGGGGCUCAACCCCGGGCCUGCAGCCGAUACGGGCAAGCUAGAAUUCGGUAGGGGAGACUGGAAUUCCUGGUGUAGCGGUGAAAUGCGCAGAUAUCAGGAGGAACACCGGUGGCGAAGGCGGGUCUCUGGGCCGAUAUUGACGCUGAGGAGCGAAAGCAUGGGGAGCGAACAGG